Molecule: long non-coding RNA, 257 nt
Filed under: Panax ginseng (ginseng)
Lineage: Eukaryota; Viridiplantae; Streptophyta; Magnoliopsida; Apiales; Araliaceae
Description: long non-coding RNA (PGIN_LNC008517)
Source: RNAcentral
GGUAUUAGAGGGCACAAAGCCAAUGGAUGUGUGAAGACGAGGCACAAGCGGGAAUGUGCAUGGCAUGGAGGUACAAUGAAGCAUGGAGACCAAGAAAACAAGAGGAUCAAGCAUGGAAGAACAGAUAGCAGCAGCAGAAGCCAAAAACCAGAACCAGAACUUGCAGGCAGCAAGCCGUACGGCAGAACAGCAUGGGGAACGCGCGCCCGUGUGAGUACCUGGGCUAGACACUGAUGAUCUACUGCAAGUUGUACGGC